This 492-nucleotide ribosomal RNA is filed under the name uncultured bacterium. RNAcentral's name for it is "partial 16S ribosomal RNA". It matches the Rfam family "Bacterial small subunit ribosomal RNA", at positions 29 to 523 of the family's 1533-position model. The record is from RNAcentral.
AUUGAACGCUGGCGGCAGGCCUAACACAUGCAAGUCGAGCGAACCUAGCUUGCUAGGUGAGCGGCGAACGGGUGAGUAACGCGUAGGAAUCUGCCCGAUAGUGGGGGACAACGUCUCGAAAGGGACGCUAAUACCGCAUACGCCCUACGGGGGAAAGCAGGGGAUCUUCGUACCUUGCGCUAUCGGAUGAGCCUGCGUCGGAUUAGCUAGUUGGCGGGGUAAAGGCCCACCAAGGCGACGAUCCGUAGCUGGUCUGAGAGGAUGAUCAGCCACACCGGAACUGCGACACGGUCCGGACUCCUACGGGAGGCAGCAGUGGGGAAUAUUGGACAAUGGGGGCAACCCGGAUCCAGCCAUGCCGCGUGUGGGAAGAAGGCCUUCGGGUUGUAAAGCACUUUAAGGGGGGAGGAAGGUUCGUUGGCUAAUAUCCAACGGAAUUGACGCUACCCCCAGAAUAAGCACCGGCUAACUCCGUGCCAGCCGCCGCGGUAA